AAUUUUAUAGUAUAAAUACAAUACAUUAAUUUGCAAAAUUAAAAAUGUUGAAAAACUAAGAUUU
Molecule: transfer RNA, 64 nt
Filed under: Ammothea hilgendorfi
Lineage: Eukaryota; Metazoa; Arthropoda; Pycnogonida; Pantopoda; Ammotheidae
Description: tRNA-Cys
Source: RNAcentral